This 1083-nucleotide long non-coding RNA is filed under the name Brassica rapa (field mustard). RNAcentral describes it as "long non-coding RNA (BRAP_LNC007853)". Lineage: Eukaryota; Viridiplantae; Streptophyta; Magnoliopsida; Brassicales; Brassicaceae. The record is from RNAcentral.
UCUAACUCAGAUAAGUACGUAUACGGGGAUGAUGAUUAAAAAGAACUUUACUAUUAUAAUUACUUCAAAUCUUAUUGUCUUUUUAUUUGUAGUUUUCUCAAAGUUAUAACCAAAUUCUAGUGAUCCUUUUGGCAAAUCCACACAAACAUCAUAAUUAUUUUUCAAUCAUAACUUUAAAAUUUGAAUACGAACACAAUUGUUGAUAUACUAAAAACAAAAUGAAAGUGGUUAGCAGAAAAGAGCAAUGAAAGUGGAGUAGAGUUGGUCAUAUGAGAACGAAAUGUAUGGGAGAGUCCACCUUGUUAAGCAAUAGGUAGUUCGCAUCAUCGCAUGGCUAAAUCAUGGAGAUAUCCACAUUAUGUUUUUUUUUUGUCGACAAUCCACAUUAUGUAUCUUCCGAAUAACAUGGAUUCUAUACAUUUUUCCAAAGAUAAAAUAAAAUUAUAAGAAACGUACAAUUAUGCAAAAAUUUGUGUUACUGUAGGUAAAAUUCCUCUCCUUUUGAACUAACUGAUCUUAUGACAUUCUUGUCUAGUGAUAAAGACAUAUCAAUUUGAAAGUCGUUAUUGUUGGAGGUGGGUUUUGCCUCCCUAGCGUGUAUUUAGGGUCGACAAUCCACAUUAUGUAUCUUCCGAAUAACAUGGAUUCUAUACAUUUUUCCAAAGAUAAAAUAAAAUUAUAAGAAACGUACAAUUAUGCAAAAAUUUGUGUUACUGUAGGUAAAAUUCCUCUCCUUUUGAACUAACUAAUCUUAUGACAUUCUUGUCUAGUGAUAAAGACAUAUCAAUUUGAAAGUCGUUAUUGUUGGAGGUGGGUUUUGCAUCCCUAGCGUGUAUUUUUGACGUUAUUUAGGAUUGGCUAAUCUUUUGUGCUUGUGGUAAAGCAUCUUAAUUAAUCAUCAUUAAUCAACUAGAGUCAAAUCUAUACUAAUAAAAAAGAUAUUUUGAGGUUCUAUGGAGCAUUUACAUCAGCAAAAAAAAAAAAAUUCAGAAAGAUGACACGUGACAUUAUUACUAAAAAAAUAAAUAUACAUAUAAAAAAAUAAAUAAUAAGUAAAUACACAAUAUAAAAAAUAUAAAUACU